UACGUAGGGUGCAAGCGUUAAUCGGAAUUACUGGGCGUAAAGCGUGCGCAGGCGGUUUUGUAAGUCUGUCGUGAAAUCCCCGGGCUUAACCUGGGAACUGCGUUUGAAACUACAAGGCUAGAGUGUGGCAGAGGGGGGUGGAAUUCCACGUGUAGCAGUGAAAUGCGUAGAGAUGUGGAGGAACACCGAUGGCGAAGGCAGCCCCCUGGGUUAACACUGACGCUCAGGCACGAAAGCGUGGGGAGCAAACAGG
Molecule: ribosomal RNA, 253 nt
Filed under: uncultured bacterium
Lineage: Bacteria
Description: partial 16S ribosomal RNA
Rfam family: Bacterial small subunit ribosomal RNA
Source: RNAcentral